GCGAUGGCCUAGUUCCUUGCUGGACAUCAAAGAGGGUGAUAAUCCCGUUGACCGACCAAGUCCAUGUGAAGUUCCUUCAACGAGUCGAGUUGUUUGGGAAUGCAGCUCAAAAUGGGUGGUAAAUUUCAUCUAAAGCUAAAUAUCAGCCAGAGACCGAUAGCGCACAAGUAGAGUGAUCGAAAGAUGAAAAGCACUUUGAAAAGAGAGUCAAAAAGCACGUGAAACUGUUUGGAGGGAAGCGCUUGCAACCAGACUUGCUCGGUGCACUCAGGCCAACAUCAGUUUCGACGGCCGGAUAAAGAUCCAGAAAGUAGCUCCUCGGGAGUGUUAUAGCUUUGGGUGUAAUGCGGUCAGUCGGGACUGAGGACUGCGCUAGGAUGUUGGCGUAAUGGUGUCAGCGACCCGUCUUGAAACACGGACCAAGGAGUUACAAUUGCGCGAGCGUUAGGGUGUUAAACUCUACGCGGAAUGAAAGUGAACGUAGGUGGGACUCACCAUCGACCGAUCCAAGUUCGCGAGGAUUUGAGUAUGAGUGUAAUUGUAGACCCGAAAGAAGGUGAACUAUUGCUGACUAGGGCGAAGCCAGAGGAAACUCUGGUGGAGGCUCGCAGCGGUUCUGACGUGCAAAUCGAUCGUCAAAGCUGGCAAUAGGGGCGAAAGACUAAUCGAACCUUCUAGUAGCUGGUUCCUGUCGAAGUUUCCCUCAGGAUAGCAGCAACGACAGUCUCAUGAGGUAGAGCAACGAUUAGAGGCCUUGGGGUUGUAACAMCCUUAACCUAUUCUCGAACUCCGAAUAUGUGAGAAGUCC
This 808-nucleotide ribosomal RNA is filed under the name Chapsa pulchra. Its description in RNAcentral is "eukaryotic LSU rRNA". It matches the Rfam family "Eukaryotic large subunit ribosomal RNA", at positions 174 to 1083 of the family's 3401-position model. The record is from RNAcentral. Lineage: Eukaryota; Fungi; Ascomycota; Lecanoromycetes; Ostropales; Graphidaceae.